CAGCAAACAUUGGUCCGACGGCGACGUCGUGUGGCCGGCCAAAAAUAGUCGCGGUAGGACGGCAUAAAUCGGUAGAAAUAUGUAACACAGAACAUUUCCUAAAAAUGCAUUCAGAUAUGUUUGUACACGUUUAUAGUUCUAUGGGGUUUCAUGUAUAAUUGUUUUUUUGACUUUUAGAUACGUGUAGUUCAAAAUUUACCCACGUUGUGAAUCGGUUGUGAGAGGACGUCACCUAGUGACGUCAUUUACACGUCCGUUACACGUCCAUCAUGACCCUAUGUGAAAUCCUUGUGGAAUAUGCAAAAGCUGUGCUUACACCUUGAUUAAUACUGCAAUAUUUAAUUAAAGUGCACCAAGUAGUUUUUAAGAGGUUUUAAAGAGGUUGUGAAUAGACGUCCACUGACGUCUUUUACACGUCUCGUCAUGGUUUGUGAAAAAAUGUCCAAGCAAGACUAGCAGGAAAAAAAAAUAUAUAUAUAUAUACAAAGUAAAUAUAUUCACUUUAUCUUUAAAAAAAAAUUAUAAUCAAAAAGAGCCCAGUGUGGUUAAGUGAUUGCAAAGCAAUGCUGCAAUUUAGUCAUUAUUUCAACCUGUUUUAUGUAUUUGUUGUUAUUAUUUUUAUUGAGUCUAUGCAUACACAUGUGAAACAGAUAUAUACCCGGUCACAAUUUCGGUCUGAGUUGGAUGUAAUUGCCAAAACGGUGCUGCCAAGAUGUAGACACAAAACAUACUGAUAUAUUUCGUGAUAUUACAAAAUCCCGCGAUAGGAUAGAUUAUCUCGCGAGAUCUCGCUUUCUUCCGGAAGUUCCCUUCCGGAAGUUCCGGUACAUCAAGCAGGCAACCACCACGAGGAGGAGAGGACUCGAAGAGGACUCUUGGAGGGAGAUUUGUCGAUAUAAAUUACAUAAAAUCUACCGUGGGAUGCUGUGAAGAGGUGGAGACUCUGAAUGGGAUGCAGCAAUGACAGAACACCUGAAGCUCGCUCCAGGAAGAGAUGGGGGUGGAGGUUACAAGAAAUGAGCCAAACAACUGUAGUUUGUUUAAGGGAUAGUUCAUCCAAAAAUGAAAAUAGUCAUAAUUUUCUCACCCUCAUGUUACGAUCAUAAUAAUUUUUCCUACAGUGGCAGUUAAUGGUUUGUGAGAUCUGCUUGGUUACAAACAUUCUUCCAAAUAUCUUUGUGUUUAUAAGACAACUGUGUAAGUCAAUGACAAGAUUAAUAAAGCAUUGAUAAAAAGAAACCAUCUUUUAACAUUCUAGUAGAAAACAUUCUCAGAAAUGUAAUAUUUUAAUAAAUGUUGGUUCUAUACUGUUUAAAAUCA
Long non-coding RNA from Carassius gibelio (silver crucian carp), 1320 nucleotides. RefSeq lists it as uncharacterized. The record is from RefSeq and is a predicted model, not a curated record. NCBI's taxonomy places the organism in Eukaryota, Metazoa, Chordata, Actinopteri, Cypriniformes, Cyprinidae. The transcript has 2 exons.